UUCUUUCCACACAUUCCACAAAAAGAAAGAUAUCUUGAAAGGUAGGCCUUUGACCAAUAUCAUCUUGUAAGCUAUCCUUGGAUUUUCUCUUAUUCUCAAAUAAUCCCAUGCAGUUUUUACAGAGAAAUGUCCCUUUGGUUCAAGCAUCCAGACCGGAAUAUCUAACUCUGCACAUUCUUUUGGUGGAGUAAUGUUCUGCACAAUGUGAUUAGCCCACUCUUCAGGUAAAAUUUGAAAUAAUUUUUCCACAUUCCACAUAUCAUUAUCAAUCAAAUCAUU
This 279-nucleotide long non-coding RNA is filed under the name Nicotiana benthamiana. RNAcentral's name for it is "long non-coding RNA (NBEN_LNC019539)". The record is from RNAcentral. Lineage: Eukaryota; Viridiplantae; Streptophyta; Magnoliopsida; Solanales; Solanaceae.